ACGGGGAGCAGCAGGCGCGAAAACUUCGCACUGUGCGAAAGCACGACGAGGGAAUCCCAAGUGCUGGCUUGUAAGAGUCAGCUGUUUCUCUGUCUAAAAAAUAAAGAGAGUAAGGGCUGGGUAAGACGGGUGCCAGCCGCCGCGGUAAUACCUGCAGCUCAAGUGGUGACCGCUAUUAUUGGGCCUAAAACGUCCGUAGCCGGUUCUAUAAAUGCCUGGGUAAAUCGUACGGCUUAACCGUACGAAUUCCGGGUAGACUGUUCAACUUGGGACCGGGAGAGGCUAGAGGUACUCCUGGGGUAGAGGUGAAAUUCUGUAAUCCUAGGGGGACCACCAGUGGCGAAGGCGUCUAGCUAGAACGGGUCUGACGGUGAGGGACGAAGCUCUGGGGAGCAAACGGGAUUAGAUACCCCGGUAGUCCAGGGUGUAAACGCUGCUCGCUUGAUGUUAGUCGGGCUCCGACCCCAACUAGUGUCGGAGAGAAGUUGUUAAGCGAGCUGCCUGGGGAGUACGGCCGCAAGACUGAAAUUUAAAGGAAUUGGCGGGGGAGCAC
This 553-nucleotide ribosomal RNA is filed under the name uncultured archaeon. RNAcentral describes it as "bacterial SSU rRNA". It matches the Rfam family "Archaeal small subunit ribosomal RNA", at positions 325 to 879 of the family's 1478-position model. The record is from RNAcentral.